Heterocephalus glaber (naked mole-rat) is the source of this 3121-nucleotide long non-coding RNA. The record is from Ensembl. NCBI's taxonomy places the organism in Eukaryota, Metazoa, Chordata, Mammalia, Rodentia, Bathyergidae.
GUUAGGCCAGAUGGGCACUGAGCAGGGGAGAGGGGCUGCUAGGCUGCUACACUGGGUUUCUUCCUUCAUUUGGAUUUCAACUUUUACCAAGAUGGCAUGUUUCCCUAACCUGGUCUACAAGCAGUGGUGGGAUGGAAGAGUAGCCGUGCUUCUCGUACUGAACAACUUCCUUACUGGAUUUCAUUGGAAGUACUACUGUAUUUUAAGCUUCCUUGCAUUGGUUCGGGUUUUCUUUAGCACCUCUAUCCAGGUAUGAGAUCAGUGGUUUUGCUCUGCCACCUAUUCCUACCAUGAGGGCUCAACACAGGCCUAAAACAACAUGGAUCAAUUGACAAGAGACUAAAGCCUCCUAACUUUGAGUCAAAAGCAACCCUCUUGUCUUGAUAAGGUUUUGAUCUCAAUAGAAAUCCCUAGUAAACUUCCUGCAUGCUAAUUUCUAUCUCAGUGUUUUCCUCCUCCAAGAACCCAGCUUAUGAUGGAAGACUUUCCCUGUCAGAUCUCAAGACCUAUUAUAAUGCUUUAGUAUUGAAGAUGGUGUGGAAUGGACAUUGGGAUAAAUGAAUAGAUAUGUGAAAUGUAAAAAAAAGAAUAGAAACAGAACUUGGUAUGUGAGAGGUGACAUUAUAUUAAACUGGAAAAAAUGGGCUAUGUAGUAUCAGUUACUGGAACAAUUGUCUAUUCAUAUGGAAAAGAAAUUGUCUAUUUUCAAAAAUUUCCAAAGGAAAAAUAUCUAAAUGUAAAAAGUGAUAAAUUAUUAAUAAAAUAUAGAAGGAAAAUAUUCUUUUAAAAGAUUCAAAGGUUAAUACCAUAAAGAAAAUUUUGAUAAACUCAAUUACAUUCUGUAUGUUAACAGGUAAAACUGAAACUUAAAGAUAUACAACCAACAGAGAAGUAGAACUCAGAAUAUACAAAUAACAUUCACAAAUUAGUAACAGAGGGGCAAACAAUAGAUAGAAAACUGGCAAAAUGUAUGAAUUGAAAAUUUGCAGAGGCAAAAACACGAAUGACCAAAAACCUUGAGAAUAUGGCCAAACCCACUAAUAAUUAAUGAAAUAUGAAUAAGAAGAUAAUUUCUCCUCCAUGAGGAAAGAAAAGACUAAAGAACAUGAAUAUACCACAUAUAGGGAAAUACUGAGAAAACAACCUCCUUGGAGAGGAAUUUGGCAAUAUUUUGUAAGUUUCACUGUAUAUAUAUAUAUAUAUAUGUAUAUAUAUAUAUAUAAUUAAGAAACACACAGAAAUGUACACACGGUGACAUGCAAACAGAUGUUUGGUGCCACCUUGUUUGUAAUAGCAAGUAUUUGAAAACAGCAUAUGUCCAUCAAUACUGGAUGGAUAAAUAAUCAUAAUAUCACAUGUGAUGGUGCAGUAAUUGUGGUGAAUUAAACAUAUUUACAUGUCUCAACAAAAAUCUUAAAUAGUGUGGAAUAAAACUUUGUGUGUGGUAAGAUACCUUUUUAAAAACAAAUUUAAAUUCAUAAAGCACACAGUUUAUGAAAAAUAUAUGAAUGGUAAAUAUUUUUAAAUGUAGUACAGAAAGGGAGCAUAACAGUUCCACAAGGGUGACUGUCUUUGGGGAGAGAGGGGAACAAGUUAAGGUUUGCAAUGUAAAUUUAUGUUCUAUUUCAUUCUUUUAUGAAAAUAAUCUGAAUAUGGCAAGAUGUUAAUAUUUGUUGAUGCUGGUUGGUGAAUAUGAUUGCGGUGUUAGAUAGUCUAUGUAUUUUUCCACAUUUGAAAUAUUUUAUUGUAUAGAGUUUUUAAAAAAAUUAUAAAACAGUGGCAUAUAGUAAAUGUCAGAAGUGACCAGGUGCCUGGGACAAGUUUUGUAAACAUUUUGCCAGAAUUGAGAAAGGGACAUGUAUUCUGCCUAAGCCUUCUAUGAAUAUUUCUCUUACCUUCUCAACCCACACCAGAAAACUUAAGAACCCAUCUUCUCAUCCUGGCACUGCUGCAUACAUUUAUUUCCAUUGCAGCAAUGCUGUUUAGUACUGUAAAAAUUUGUGGCAUAGUCAGUCUCUCAUUUCAAGAAGCUCUGAACUCCUUAAAUCUAGUAAUCAUAUCUUUUUACCUUAGAAUCUUUAAAUUUUUGCAUACUUUCCAGAACUCAGUAGAUAUUCAAAUAAAUGUUUUUUGAAUAUAUGACUUUAAUAAAUUAGAUAUCUACAAUAUAUUUCAGAUCCGUGAAAGUCUAACAGCACAUACUAGUCAUGCCUUCCUUUCCAAUUAACUAUUGGAGAUGGCACAGUUGGUUCAAGUUUAAUAUGCCUCCAGUAAGCAGAGCCCAGGAGAGCAACAAAAUGUUAAAAUGCUUUAUCCUGCAAGGUCAGGUCAAUUUUCUCUGUUUCAUGUGUUUUCCUUAACAGUCAGAUAUAAUAGCAGACGAUUUGUACCAAGGAUUCAGAAGAUUUGAACUCAGAAAGGAACUACUAUAGCUACUUAAGCUUUAGGCAUAUACAUUUUCUGUGAGUCUCAUUUCCUCUCAGAAAAAAUGCUGGGAUAGAUACUUUGGUUUGUUCUCCUCCUUCCAGUCUCUGAUUCUUCCUCAAAACUUGAAUGCCCAUUAUUACUUGGCUCAGACAUUUGUACUUAGAUUAUCCCAUUUUUUAUCAUUAUUAUCCUUUUAUAUUUGGGCUCAGUGUUUAUAUACAUAGAAACAGACACACCAGACACACACACAUACAUGCACACAGAGUUGAUCUUCUAUACCCAUGGGUUCUCCCCCAGAUUCAAUCAGCCAUGAAUCAAAAAUUACAGAAAAACAUUGUAUCUAUUAUGAACAGAUAGAGACUUCUUUUCUUGUUGUUACUCCUUAAACAAUAAGUAACUGUUUGCAUAGCAUCUACAUUGUAUUAAGGAUAAGUAAACUAGAGAUUAUUUAAAGUGUAAGUUAGCAUGUGCAUUGGUUCUAUGCAAAUAGUGUACCUUUUUAGAUAAGAAAUUUGGCCACCAGCAGGAUUUUGGUAUCUCUAGAGAGUGCAGGAACCAAUGCUCCACAGAUACCAAGGGAUGACUGUAUUAUAUCUUAAAGGCAAGUUCUAAUUUUAUUAUAUAUGUAAAUAUAGCAAGAACUCCUCCCCCUUUUUUGCUUUUACUGAUACUUAUGUGACUAAAUUAAAACAGG